AAUGGACGAAAGUCUGACCGAGCAACGCCGCGUGAGUGAAGAAGGUUUUCGGAUCGUAAAACUCUGUUGGUAGAGAAGAACGUUGGUGAGAGUGGAAAGCUCAUCAAGUGACGGUAACUACCCAGAAAGGGACGGCUAACUACGUGCCAGCAGCCGCGGUAAUACGUAGGUCCCGAGCGUUGUCCGGAUUUAUUGGUCGUAAAGCGAGCGCAGGUGGUUUAUUAAGUCUGGUGUAAAAGGCAGUGGCUCAACCAUUGUAUGCAUUGGAAACUGGUAGACUUGAGUGCAGGAGAGGAGAGUGGAAUUCCAUGUGUAGCGGUGAAAUGCGUAGAUAUAUGGAGGAACACCGGUGGCGAAAGCGGCUCUCUGGCCUGUAACUGACACUGAGGCUCGAAAGCGUGGGGAGCAAA
Molecule: ribosomal RNA, 410 nt
Filed under: uncultured bacterium
Lineage: Bacteria
Description: bacterial SSU rRNA
Rfam family: Bacterial small subunit ribosomal RNA
Source: RNAcentral